This 695-nucleotide ribosomal RNA is filed under the name uncultured soil bacterium. RNAcentral's name for it is "bacterial SSU rRNA". It matches the Rfam family "Bacterial small subunit ribosomal RNA", at positions 29 to 768 of the family's 1533-position model. The record is from RNAcentral.
GCGAACGCUGGCGGCAGGCUUAACACAUGCAAGUCGAACGCUCGUAGCAAUACGAGAGUGGCAGACGGGAGAGUAACACGUGGGAACGUGCCCUUUAGUUCGGAACAACCCAGGGAAACUUGGGCUAAUACCGGAUACGUCCGAAAGGAGAAAGAUUUAUCGCUGAAGGAUCGGCCCGCGUCUGAUUAGCUAGUUGGUGGGGUAAUGGCUCACCAAGGCGACGAUCAGUAGCUGGUCUGAGAGGAUGAUCAGCCUCAUUGGGACUGAGACACGGCCCAAACUCCUACGGGGGGCAGCAGUGGGGAAUCUUGGACAAUGGGCGCAAGCCUGAUCCAGCCAUGCCGCGUGGGUGAUGAAGGCCCUAGGGUUGUAAAGCCCUUUCGGCGGGGAAGAUAAUGACGGUACCCGCAGAAGAAGCCCCGGCUAACUUCGUGCCAGCAGCCGCGGUAAUACGAAGGGGGCUAGCGUUGCUCGGAAUCACUGGGCGUAAAGCGCACGUAGGCGGCUUUUUAAGUCAGGGGUGAAAUCCUGGAGCUCAACUCCAGAACUGCCUUUGAUACUGAGAAGCUUGAGUUCGGGAGAGGUGAGUGGAACUGCGAGUGUAGAGGUGAAAUUCGUAGAUAUUCGCAAGAACACCAGUGGCGAAGGCGGCUCACUGGCCCGAUACUGACGCUGAGGUGCGAAAGCGUGGGGAG